RNAcentral lists this ribosomal RNA (253 nucleotides) under uncultured bacterium. Its description in RNAcentral is "partial 16S ribosomal RNA". It matches the Rfam family "Bacterial small subunit ribosomal RNA", at positions 524 to 776 of the family's 1533-position model. The record is from RNAcentral.
UACGUAGGGAGCAAGCGUUGUCCGGAAUCAUUGGGCGUAAAGCGCGCGUAGGUGGCCUCAUAAGUCCGCUGUGAAAGUCAAAGGCUCAACCUUUGAAAGCCGGUGGAUACUGUGGGGCUAGAGUACGGAAGAGGAGACUGGAAUUCCCGGUGUAGCGGUGGAAUGCGCAGAUAUCGGGAGGAACACCCGUGGCGAAGGCGGGUCUCUGGGACGGUACUGACGCUGAGGCGCGAAAGCGUGGGGAGCAAACAGG